GACGAACGCUGGCGGCGUGCCUAAUACAUGCAAGUAGAACGCUGAAGGAGGAGCUUGCUUCUCUGGAUGAGUUGCGAACGGGUGAGUAACGCGUAGGUAACCUGCCUGGUAGCGGGGGAUAACUAUUGGAAACGAUAGCUAAUACCGCAUAAGAGUAGAUGUUGCAUGACAUUUGCUUAAAAGGUGCAAUUGCAUCACUACCAGAUGGACCUGCGUUGUAUUAGCUAGUUGGUGGGGUAACGGCUCACCAAGGCGACGAUAAAUAGCCGACCUGAGAGGGUGAUCGGCCACAGUGGGACUGAGACACGGCCCAGACUCCUACGGGAGGCAGCAGUAGGGAAUCUUCGGCAAUGGACGGAAGUCUGACCGAGCAACGCCGCGUGAGUGAAGAAGGUUUUCGGAUCGUAAAGAUCUGUUGUAAGAGAAGAGCGAGUGUGAGAGUGGAAAGUUCACACUGUGACGGUAUCUUACCAGAAAGGGACGGCUAACUACGUG
Molecule: ribosomal RNA, 495 nt
Filed under: uncultured bacterium
Lineage: Bacteria
Description: partial 16S ribosomal RNA
Rfam family: Bacterial small subunit ribosomal RNA
Source: RNAcentral